GCCAACAUAGCUCAGUUGGUAGAGCAGCGCUUUCGUAAAGCGCGGGUCGCUGGUUCAAGUCCAGUUGUUGGCUCCA
RNAcentral lists this transfer RNA (76 nucleotides) under Opitutus sp. RNAcentral describes it as "tRNA-Thr". It matches the Rfam family "tRNA". Rfam says of the family: Transfer RNA (tRNA) molecules are approximately 80 nucleotides in length. Their secondary structure includes four short double-helical elements and three loops (D, anti-codon, and T loops). Lineage: Bacteria; Pseudomonadati; Verrucomicrobiota; Opitutia; Opitutales; Opitutaceae. The record is from RNAcentral. RNAcentral also lists the same sequence under 5 other names.